RNAcentral lists this transfer RNA (73 nucleotides) under Camelus bactrianus (Bactrian camel). It matches the Rfam family "tRNA". Rfam says of the family: Transfer RNA (tRNA) molecules are approximately 80 nucleotides in length. Their secondary structure includes four short double-helical elements and three loops (D, anti-codon, and T loops). Further hydrogen bonds mediate the characteristic L-shaped molecular structure. tRNAs have two regions of fundamental functional importance: the anti-codon, which is responsible for specific mRNA codon recognition, and the 3' end, to which the tRNAs corresponding amino acid is attached (by aminoacyl-tRNA synthetases). tRNAs cope with the degeneracy of the genetic code in two manners: having more than one tRNA (with a specific anti-codon) for a particular amino acid; and 'wobble' base-pairing, i.e. permitting non-standard base-pairing at the 3rd anti-codon position. The record is from Rfam by way of RNAcentral. Lineage: Eukaryota; Metazoa; Chordata; Mammalia; Artiodactyla; Camelidae. RNAcentral also lists the same sequence under 2 other names.
GAGGGUAUAGCUCAAGUGGUAGAGUGCAUGCUUAGCAUGCAUGAGGUCCUGGGUUCAAUCCCUGGUGUCUCCU